This is a long non-coding RNA of Tribolium madens (black flour beetle), 322 nucleotides long. RefSeq lists it as uncharacterized. NCBI's taxonomy places the organism in Eukaryota, Metazoa, Arthropoda, Insecta, Coleoptera, Tenebrionidae. The transcript has 2 exons. The record is from RefSeq and is a predicted model, not a curated record.
CUCGGUUCGGAGAAAGUCGGUGCGUAUUCGUUCACAUCAGAGACUGUGAUGUGAACGGUGGCACUGUAAACAACAAAAAACAUAUUCAAUAAAUAAAUUGUUGCGGUUUUGUGGGUGACGUUUGUGGACAUGAUCGAGUAUGAAAACGUACACUCUAUAGAAAUGGACGACGCAGAUGUGGGUAAUUCCCGAACAAGGAAAAGAGUUAAAGCUCUUCUAUUUUACUUGUUUGUUGUGUUUAUGGGAAGUUUCCUAUUAAUUUUAAUUUGUUUCAUUUUUUACAAAACAAUUAAUUCGUAUAAUUAAAACGGUUUUCCCCAAA